This 74-nucleotide transfer RNA is filed under the name Verrucomicrobiota bacterium. RNAcentral describes it as "Verrucomicrobia bacterium tRNA-Lys". It matches the Rfam family "tRNA". From Rfam's summary of the family: Transfer RNA (tRNA) molecules are approximately 80 nucleotides in length. Their secondary structure includes four short double-helical elements and three loops (D, anti-codon, and T loops). Further hydrogen bonds mediate the characteristic L-shaped molecular structure. tRNAs have two regions of fundamental functional importance: the anti-codon, which is responsible for specific mRNA codon recognition, and the 3' end, to which the tRNAs corresponding amino acid is attached (by aminoacyl-tRNA synthetases). tRNAs cope with the degeneracy of the genetic code in two manners: having more than one tRNA (with a specific anti-codon) for a particular amino acid; and 'wobble' base-pairing, i.e. permitting non-standard base-pairing at the 3rd anti-codon position. Lineage: Bacteria; Pseudomonadati; Verrucomicrobiota. The record is from RNAcentral. RNAcentral also lists the same sequence under 1 other name.
GGGCUCUUAGCUCAGCUGGUUAGAGCAUGCGACUCUUAAUCGCCAGGUCCUGGGUUCGAAUCCCAGAGGGCCCA